UGGGGAAUAUUGCACAAUGGGCGCAAGCCUGAUGCAGCCAUGCCGCGUGUAUGAAGAAGGCCUUCGGGUUGUAAAGUACUUUCAGCGGGGAGGAAGGGAGUAAAGUUAAUACCUUUGCUCAUUGACGUUACCCGCAGAAGAAGCACCGGCUAACUCCGUGCCAGCAGCCGCGGUAAUACGGAGGGUGCAAGCAUUAAUCGGAAUUACUGGGCGUAAAGCGCACGCAGGCGGUUUGUUAAGUCAGAUGUGAAAUCCCCAGGCUCAAACUGGGAACUGCAUCUGAUACGGGCAAGCUGGAGUCUCGUAGAGGGGGGUAGAAUUCCAGGUGGAGCGGUGAAAUGCGUAGAGAUCUGGAGGAAUACCGGUGGCGAAGGCGGCCCCCUGGACAAAGACUGACGCUCAGGUGCGAAAGCGUGGGGAGCAAACAGG
This 429-nucleotide ribosomal RNA is filed under the name Chloroflexota bacterium. Its description in RNAcentral is "Chloroflexi bacterium partial 16S ribosomal RNA". It matches the Rfam family "Bacterial small subunit ribosomal RNA", at positions 355 to 776 of the family's 1533-position model. Lineage: Bacteria; Bacillati; Chloroflexota. The record is from RNAcentral.